Long non-coding RNA from Branchiostoma floridae (Florida lancelet), 235 nucleotides. RefSeq lists it as uncharacterized. The record is from RefSeq and is a predicted model, not a curated record. Lineage: Eukaryota; Metazoa; Chordata; Leptocardii; Amphioxiformes; Branchiostomatidae. The transcript has 2 exons.
AGCUGUACGUCCGGCAGCUCCAGGGAAGGACAACACGACCCUAGCCAUCGCGCUGGGCGUGACCUGUGGCGUACUGGCCAUCAUGAUCGUGGUCGCGCUUGUGUUCUUCCUACUGCACAAGAACAAAACCGGAGGAACGAAAAUCACCCCUGUCAAACCGACAACAUCAGAAUAGAACAACGUACCAACAUCGUGGAGCACUUUUAACAUCGAUCUUCAGUUUCACAUUUUAAGU